UUGAAAGGGAAACGAUUGAAGUCAGUCGUACCGACGGAAAAUCAGCUCUUUGAGUGCGGACUUGUGGGUUUACGUGAGCUUUACGGCCUCGUUGUUUGCAAUGUUCGUUCUUUUUGGGUGUACUUUUUCGUAUGGUUGGCCAAUAUCAGUUUCGAUCGCUAUAAAAUGACCGGCGGAAUGUAGCUUCGAUCUCGUAUUGAAGUGUUAUAGCCUCUGGUAGAUGUGGUGAUUGGGACUGAGGAUUGCAACGAAUACCUUUUUGGGCUAUCCGUCUGAUCUCUGAAAGUUGCUUAGGUGCCGAAAGCGUGCUUACGGUUAUUUAAGUUGACGGUCAAAAGGUUAGAACGUGAUUAUAUUCGUUAAGGAUGUUGACGUA
RNAcentral lists this ribosomal RNA (376 nucleotides) under Rhizophagus intraradices. RNAcentral's name for it is "eukaryotic LSU rRNA". Lineage: Eukaryota; Fungi; Glomeromycota; Glomeromycetes; Glomerales; Glomeraceae. The record is from RNAcentral.